RNAcentral lists this ribosomal RNA (433 nucleotides) under uncultured bacterium. RNAcentral describes it as "partial 16S ribosomal RNA". It matches the Rfam family "Bacterial small subunit ribosomal RNA", at positions 29 to 507 of the family's 1533-position model. The record is from RNAcentral.
AACGAACGCUGGCGGCAUGCCUAACACAUGCAAGUCGAACGAGACCUUCGGGUCUAGUGGCGCACGGGUGCGUAACGCGUGGGAACCUGCCCUUAGGUUCGGAAUAACUCCCCGAAAGGGGUGCUAAUACCGGAUAAUGUCUUCGGACCAAAGAUUUAUCGCCUUUGGAUGGGCCCGCGUUGGAUUAGCUAGUUGGUAGGGUAAAAGCCUACCAAGGCGACGAUCCAUAGCUGGUCUGAGAGGAUGAUCAGCCGCACUGGGACUGAGACACGGCCCAGACUCCUACGGGAGGCAGCAGUGGGGAAUAUUGGACAAUGGGCGAAAGCCUGAUCCAGCAAUGCCGCGUGAGUGAUGAAGGCCUUAGGGUUGUAAAGCUCUUUUACCCGGGAUGAUAAUGACAGUACCGGGAGAAUAAGCACCGGCUAACUCCGUG